UUCCGGAAAACACUGUUAGGCAUUCAUGAUUGGUCAAAAGAACAUGACAAUCUAUGAUUACCGAAUCAAGGUGGGACAAACUCAGUUCAGCAGAGGGAGUAAAAUAAGACGGAAGAGCGAGAUCGAAACCUAGGACCAUCUCAAAAGACUUCCAAGAAAUUACGUUUCGAAAGUGAGAUAUCUUGUACCAUGGAAACACUUGAGUCUCUGCCUCGUCCACAUCAGCAAUAACUCAUCACUCCUACUCCAGGUUUUAUGGAAAGUUUUCUUAAUGCUCUGAGAACCUGUAGAGAAGGUUAUGCUGAAGUACUGAAAUUCCCAAAGAAGAACGUUCUCUGAACAGAUGAAUGGAACGACAAGGAUCUCAUCACAGCAUCUCUGUGCAUUCUAAUUGCCAUCGAUAAAAUGCAAUUGUGUUCGUUGUCCGUAGCUUCUGCCUGCCCAUACCAUAACCCUAGCACCACGG
Molecule: long non-coding RNA, 466 nt
Organism: Oncorhynchus tshawytscha (Chinook salmon)
Lineage: Eukaryota; Metazoa; Chordata; Actinopteri; Salmoniformes; Salmonidae
Exons: 3
Source: RefSeq, a predicted model, not a curated record